GAGCGUAGGCCGGAGAUUAAGCGUGUUGUGAAAUGUAGACGCUCAACGUCUGCGCUGCAGCGCGAACUGGUUUCCUUGAGUACGCACAAAGUGGGCGGAAUUCGUGGUGUAGCGGUGAAAUGCUUAGAUAUCACGAAGAACUCCGAUUGCGAAGGCAGCUCACUGGAGCGCAACUGACGCUGAAGCUCGAAAGUGCGGGUAUCGAACAGGAUUAGAUACCCUGGUAGUCCGCACGGUAAACGAUGGAUGCCCGCUGUUGGUCUGAAUAGGUCAGCGGCCAAGCGAAAGCAUUAAGCAUCCCACCUGGGGAGUACGCCGGCAACGGUGAAACUCAAAGGAAUUGACGGGGGCCCGCACAAGCGGAGGAACAUGUGGUUUAAUUCGAUGAUACGCGAGGAACCUUACCCGGGCUUGAAUUGCAGAGGAAGGAUUUGGAGACAAUGACGCCCUUCGGGGCCUCUGUGAAGGUGCUGCAUGGUUGUCGUCAGCUCGUGCCGUGAGGUGUCGGCUUAAGUGCCAUAACGAGCGCAACCCCUCUCCUUAGUUGCCAUCAGGUCAUGCUGGGCACUCUGGGGACACUGCCACCGUAAGGUGUGAGGAAGGUGGGGAUGACGUCAAAUCAGCACGGCCCUUACGUCCGGGGCUACACACGUGUUACAAUGGCAGGUACAGAGAGACGGUCCCUUGCAAAAGGGAUCAAAUCCUCAAAGCCUGUCUCAGUUCGGACUGGGGUCUGCAACCCGACCCCACGAAGCUGGAUUC
Molecule: ribosomal RNA, 762 nt
Filed under: uncultured Bacteroidota bacterium
Lineage: Bacteria; Pseudomonadati; Bacteroidota
Description: bacterial SSU rRNA
Rfam family: Bacterial small subunit ribosomal RNA
Source: RNAcentral